AAAACUUUCAACAACGGAUCUCUUAGUUCUAGCAUCGAUAAAGAACGUAGCGAAAUGCGAUAAGUAAUGUGAAUUGCAGAAUUCAGUGAAUCGUCGAAUCUUUGAACGCACAUUGCGCCCCUUAGUAUUCCGGGGGGCAUGCCUGUUCGAGCGUCAUUA
RNAcentral lists this ribosomal RNA (159 nucleotides) under fungal sp. TRN523. RNAcentral describes it as "5.8S ribosomal RNA". It matches the Rfam family "5.8S ribosomal RNA". Rfam says of the family: 5.8S ribosomal RNA (5.8S rRNA) is a component of the large subunit of the eukaryotic ribosome. It is transcribed by RNA polymerase I as part of the 45S precursor that also contains 18S and 28S rRNA. Functionally, it is thought that 5.8S rRNA may be involved in ribosome translocation. Lineage: Eukaryota; Fungi. The record is from RNAcentral.